RNAcentral lists this ribosomal RNA (2001 nucleotides) under Triticum aestivum (bread wheat). RNAcentral describes it as "partial small subunit ribosomal RNA". The record is from RNAcentral. Lineage: Eukaryota; Viridiplantae; Streptophyta; Magnoliopsida; Poales; Poaceae.
AUGUUGACAGCGUACUUUCAUGCAAACAGCUUACAUGAGAAAGCACGAGGCAUACUAUACAGAGACUUCCCGGAAUAUUAUACUUGGCAAACACGCGGGAAGUUUUGGCAAGAGAGAAAACGGGCCGCUCUGUUCCAGGUUGGCAGAAUCGUCUCAGCACACCCGGCUGAAGGAGAACGAUACUAUCUUCGAGUUCUCCUAAACCAUGUGACAGGCGCCACCAGCUACGAAGACCUAAGAACAGUUGAAGCACAACUAAUGCCAACCUUCCGUGAAGCUGCAGAAAAACGGGGGCUCAUUGAGGCAGACAACACAUUGGAUGAUUGCAUGACAGAAGCGGAGUUGUUUCGAAUGCCAUCAUCGCUACGAAGGCUAUUCGCGACAAUCCUGGUGUUUUGCGAGCCUAGCAACGUCCGUAGCCUCUGGAACAAACACCUUGAGUCAAUGUCAGAAGACUACAACAGAAACUGCAAAUGCAAGCACACGGUCGAACAGAUGGUGCUUAGAAAUAUCAGAGACAUGUUGCACUCAAUGGGAAAAGACAUAAAAUCAUUUCCUCUUCCAGAGAUCGAGAAACAACAUGAGACGGCAGACGACGUACCUAGGGAGAUCAUCGAGGAGAUCUCAAUCGAGGUGGACCCGGAGGACGCAACUUUACAUAGAAACCUAAACAACGAGCAGAGAAAGGCCUAUGAUGAAAUCUUACACGCAAUUGACCGCCAAAGAGGAGGCUUAUUCUUUGUCGAUGGACCGGGAGGCACAGGAAAAACUUUUCUUUACAGGGCACUCUUGGCCACAAUACGCGGACAAGGUAAGAUUGCUGUGGCGACGGCCACUUCCGGUGUUGCUGCUUCCAUAAUGCCCGGAGGGAGGACCGCACACUCGAGGUUCAAGAUUCCACUAAAAAUAGAUGAUGGAGCUAUUUGUGGAUUCACAAAACAAAGUGGGACAGCCAAGCUACUCCAAGCAGCAUCACUAAUAAUCUGGGAUGAAGCAUCUAUGACUAAGAGGCAGAUAGUGGAGGCGCUAGACAAAAGCAUGCGGGACAUAAUGGACAGACCAGAUCUUCCAUUCGGUGGAAAAACAGUCGUAUUUGGAGGAGACUUUAGGCAAGUGCUCCCCGUUGUUCGAAAGGGAACAAGAGCCCAGAUAGUAGAUGCAUCACUAUGCAGGUCCGAGCUCUGGAAUUCCAUGCAAUACCUACUACGCAUUGGAAACGGAACCGAGGAGACAAAUGAUGAUAGUGAAAUACUUCUACCUGCAAGUAUAUGCGUGCCAAAUAAGACGGAUGAUAAUGGCCUGGAUAGACUCAUCGACAGUGUCUACGAAACGGACAAUGCUUCCCUAAAAGAUCCAAAAUACAUCACGUCAAGAGCAAUUUUAUCCACAAGGAACGACUCUGUAGACAGAAUAAACCUAAAAAUGAUUGAUCGCUUCAAAGGAGAGGAGAUGGUGUACCACAACUUCGACUCUGUAGAAGACGACCCACAUAACUACUAUCCACCAGAAUUCCUAAACACCCUCACCCCAAAUGGACUGCCUCCACAUAUGCUAAAGCUGAAAAUAAAUUGUCCAAUCAUACUACUGAGGAAUAUUGACCCCGCUAAUGGACUCUGCAAUGGCACAAGAUUGGUCGUGCGUGGAUUCCAGAAAAAUGCAAUUGAUGCAGAGAUUGUAGUAGGGCAGCACUCUGGAAUGCGAGUUUUCUUGCCACGGAUACCAUUAUGCCCAUCUGACGACGAUAUGUUCCCGUUCAAUUUCAAGAGGAAACAAUUUCCAGUGAGACUAAGUUUUGCAAUGACAAUAAACAAAUCGCAAGGUCAGACAAUACCAAAUGUCGGUGUCUACCUGCCUGAACCGGUUUUCUCACAUGGUCAACUAUAUGUCGCUCUUUCUAGAGCGACCUCGACAUCAAACAUAAAAGUAUUAACAAGGAAUAAUCAAACAAUUAGUACAAACAGGGCAUACACAAAAAAUAUUGUCUACACAGAAGUCCUCACC